UGAGAGAAUCGAUGGCACAGAAUGUG
RNAcentral lists this non-coding RNA (26 nucleotides) under Homo sapiens (human). The record is from RNAcentral. Lineage: Eukaryota; Metazoa; Chordata; Mammalia; Primates; Hominidae.